Molecule: regulatory RNA element, 123 nt
Organism: Buttiauxella agrestis ATCC 33320
Lineage: Bacteria; Pseudomonadati; Pseudomonadota; Gammaproteobacteria; Enterobacterales; Enterobacteriaceae
Rfam family: Histidine operon leader
About the family: At least 6 amino acid operons are known to be regulated by attenuation. In each a leader sequence of 150-200 bp is found upstream of the first gene in the operon. This leader sequence can assume two different secondary structures known as the terminator and the anti-terminator structure.
Source: Rfam
CCAUCAUCACCAUCAUCCUGACUAGUCUUUCAGGCGAUGUGUGCUGGAAGAUGAAAAAAUCUUCCACUGGUGCAUGAACGAGUCAAUAAGCCCCCGGAAGAUUUCUUCCGGGGGCUUUUUUUU